Molecule: long non-coding RNA, 675 nt
Organism: Helicoverpa armigera (cotton bollworm)
Lineage: Eukaryota; Metazoa; Arthropoda; Insecta; Lepidoptera; Noctuidae
Exons: 2
Source: RefSeq, a predicted model, not a curated record
GAUUAGUACCGUAAAACGAGGUGACUUUGAGAUCCGGGGCGACAUUGAUGAUUACUCAAAAUUUAUGGUUUUACUUAUUUUUAUAUUUGGAAUGGAACGUAAUAAUUUUUAUUUUUAUUGUGUUGGCAAGACUGACUCAUCAGCCAUGUUUUCCGAAAACGUCGAGGUGAGAGGAUUGCUAAUCAGAAUGGUUCGGACUUACAAGAAAACUCCGGGUACCCGCAACUACAAAAAUUAUAGUAAUGAGACCAAGUUAUUGUUGUAAGUAUUGUUGUAAGUUGUAAGUAUUUAUUAUUACAAUGAGACCUAUUUACAAGUUUCCGACUGAAGUAAUGAUUAAAGAGUUGUGAAGAAACCUUCUACUAAUUUAAAAAAUGUGGCAUUAUUUCUAUUGCUUAUAUUUUCUAUGUUUUAAUUUUUUUUUAUUUUUUUAAGUCUGUACCACGUACAAAUAAUUCUAAGAAUGAUUGUGUGACCAUGUUGAUAAUUGCGUAGAAAUAUUUAGUUUUGAUAAUUAUGUUACCUACCUACUAGGUACUUUUUGAUCUCUGAUUACCCACCUAUUAUGAUUGUUGAGACUGAUUAUUAUAACAGAAAUUAGUAAAAACUUUAGAAAGUUUGAUAUUAUUAUUAAUAUACUGACUGAUGUUGAUUAGAUAAAAAGUUUAAAAAUUA